UGGGGAAUAUUGCACAAUGGACGGAAGUUUGAUGCAGCGACGCCGCGUGGGGGGUGUAGGCCUUCGGGUUGUGAACUCCUUUUUCUCGCGAAAAAGGCACAGUUUUGGCUGUGUUGAUGGUAGUGGGGGAAGAAGCGCCGGCUAACUACGUGCCAGCAGCCGCGGUAAUACGUAGGGCGCGAGCGUUGUCCGGAUUUAUUGGGCGUAAAGAGCUCGUAGGUGGUUCGUCGCGUCUGUCGUGAAAGCCAGCAGCUUAACUGUUGGUCUGCGGUGGGUACGGGCGGGCUUGAGUGCGGUAGGGGUGACUGGAAUUCCUGGUGUAGCGGUGGAAUGCGCAGAUAUCAGGAGGAACACCGAUGGCGAAGGCAGGUCACUGGGCCGUUACUGACACUGAGGAGCGAAAGCGUGGGGAGCGAACAGG
Molecule: ribosomal RNA, 421 nt
Filed under: Fusobacteriota bacterium
Lineage: Bacteria; Fusobacteriati; Fusobacteriota
Description: Fusobacteria bacterium partial 16S ribosomal RNA
Rfam family: Bacterial small subunit ribosomal RNA
Source: RNAcentral